RNAcentral lists this ribosomal RNA (432 nucleotides) under uncultured bacterium. RNAcentral's name for it is "partial 16S ribosomal RNA". It matches the Rfam family "Bacterial small subunit ribosomal RNA", at positions 29 to 507 of the family's 1533-position model. The record is from RNAcentral.
ACGAACGCUGGCGGCAUGCCUAACACAUGCAAGUCGAACGAGACCUUCGGGUCUAGUGGCGCACGGGUGCGUAACGCGUGGGAACCUGCCCUUAGGUUCGGAAUAACUCCCCGAAAGGGGUGCUAAUACCGGAUAAUGUCUUCGGACCAAAGAUUUAUCGCCUUUGGAUGGGCCCGCGUUGGAUUAGCUAGUUGGUAGGGUAAAAGCCUACCAAGGCGACGAUCCAUAGCUGGUCUGAGAGGAUGAUCAGCCACACUGGGACUGAGACACGGCCCAGACUCCUACGGGAGGCAGCAGUGGGGAAAAUUGGACAAUGGGCGAAAGCCUGAUCCAGCAAUGCCGCGUGAGUGAUGAAGGCCUUAGGGUUGUAAAGCUCUUUUACCCGGGAUGAUAAUGACAGUACCGGGAGAAUAAGCUCCGGCUAACUCCGUG